CCCCCGCGCAGGCGCAGACGCCGGCAGUGGCGGAACUCGCGGGUCCCGAGGCGAGGGAGGCUGGGGUUCGCAGUCAGGAUUGCGGACACGAGCGGGACUCCGGGGCCCGACGUCAAGCCUCACGGAGUCAGAUCAGUGUGCAGCCCAGCUGAGAUGUCUGUGUAGCUGGCAAGACUGAAGCAGAGAACAUAGAUUCUCCACGUGAAGACUCCCACCUGACUCCCACUGAGAAUUUGCUUGCUCUGACUUCCAGUUUGUGAUUCCUGAGAGUGCUGUAGACAGGAGAGAACCUAGAAUUUACAUGCAUGAGGAGUAAAAUGUGCCGUAGCAUUGAAGAUUAAUCUUCUCAGGAAGUCAUCAAGGGAAUUAACAAUCAAAGAUGAACCAGACUAAAGGCAGACCCCUGGUCCCUGGCUGCUCCUCUCGAGGAUA
Hyaena hyaena (striped hyena) is the source of this 432-nucleotide long non-coding RNA. RefSeq lists it as uncharacterized. The transcript has 4 exons. NCBI's taxonomy places the organism in Eukaryota, Metazoa, Chordata, Mammalia, Carnivora, Hyaenidae. The record is from RefSeq and is a predicted model, not a curated record.